Molecule: ribosomal RNA, 419 nt
Filed under: bacterium
Lineage: Bacteria
Description: partial 16S ribosomal RNA
Rfam family: Bacterial small subunit ribosomal RNA
Source: RNAcentral
UGGGGGAUAUUGCACAAUGGGCGAAAGCCUGAUGCAGCGACGCCGCGUGGGGGAUGAAGGCCUUCGGGUUGUAAACUUCUUUUGCUCUGAACAAGGCAUGCUAAUGGGUGAGUUGAGUGUAGGGGUUGAUUAGCGCCGGCUAACUACGUGCCAGCAGCCGCGGUAAUACGUAGGGCGCGAGCGUUGUCCGUAAUUAUUGGGCGUAAAGGGCUUGUAGGUGGCUGGUUGCGUCUGUCGUGAAAGCUCAUGGCUUAACUGUGGGUUUGCGGUGGGUACGGGCUGGCUUGAGUGCAGUAGGGGAGGCUGGAAUUCCUGGUGUAGCGGUGGAAUGCGCAGAUAUCAGGAGGAAUACCGGUGGCGAAGGCGGGUCUCUGGGCUGUUACUGACACUGAGGAGCGAAAGCAUGGGGAGCGAACAGG